RNAcentral lists this ribosomal RNA (253 nucleotides) under uncultured bacterium. RNAcentral's name for it is "partial 16S ribosomal RNA". It matches the Rfam family "Bacterial small subunit ribosomal RNA", at positions 524 to 776 of the family's 1533-position model. The record is from RNAcentral.
UACGAAGGGGGCUAGCGUUGCUCGGAAUCACUGGGCGUAAAGGGUGCGUAGGCGGCUUUCUAAGUCAGGGGUGAAAUCCUGGAGCUCAACUCCAGAACUGCCUUUGAUACUGGAGAGCUCGAGUCCGGGAGAGGUGAGUGGAACUCCGAGUGUAGAGGUGAAAUUCGUAGAUAUUCGGAAGAACACCAGUGGCGAAGGCGGCUCACUGGCCCGGUACUGACGCUGAUGUGCGAAAGCGUGGGGAGCAAACAGG